UGAGCAAUCUGCCCUUCUCUUCGGAAUAACCAUUGGAAACGAUGGCUAAUACCGAAUAUGACUUCGGAUCGCAUGAUCUGAAGUGGAAAGCUCCGGCGGUGAAGGAUGAGCUCGCGGCCUAUCAGCUUGUUGGUGGGGUAAUGGCUCACCAAGGCGACGACGGAUAACCGGCCUGAGAGGGCGACCGGUCACACUGGGACUGAGACACGGCCCAGACCUCUACGGGAGG
Molecule: ribosomal RNA, 229 nt
Filed under: uncultured bacterium
Lineage: Bacteria
Description: partial 16S ribosomal RNA
Rfam family: Bacterial small subunit ribosomal RNA
Source: RNAcentral